AUUUAUAAGAAUAUGAUGUUGGUUCAGAUUAAGCGCUAAAUAAGGACAUGACACAUGCGAAUCAUACGUUUAUUAUUGAUAAGAUAAUAAAUAUGUGGUGUAAACGUGAGUAAUUUUAUUAGGAAUUAAUGAACUAUAGAAUAAGCUAAAUACUUAAUAUAUUAUUAUAUAAAAAUAAUUUAUAUAAUAAAAAGGAUAUAUAUAUAAUAUAUAUUUAUCUAUAGUCAAGCCAAUAAUGGUUUAGGUAGUAGGUUUAUUAAGAGUUAAACCUAGCCAACGAUCCAUAAUCGAUAAUGAAAGUUAGAACGAUCACGUUGACUCUGAAAUAUAGUCAAUAUCUAUAAGAUACAGCAGUGAGGAAUAUUGGACAAUGAUCGAAAGAUUGAUCCAGUUACUUAUUAGGAUGAUAUAUAAAAAUAUUUUAUUUUAUUUAGUUCCGGGGCCCGGCCACGGGAGCCGGAACCCCGAAAGGAGAAAUAUUAAAUAUUUAUAAUAAUAAUAAUAAUAAUAUAUAUAUAUAAAUUGAUUAAAAAUAAAAUCCAUAAAUAAUUAAAAUAAUGAUAUUAAUUACCAUAUAUAUUUUUAUAUGGAUAUAUAUAUUAAUAAUAAUAUUAAUUUUAUUAUUAUUAAUAAUAUAUUUUAAUAGUCCUGACUAAUAUUUGUGCCAGCAGUCGCGGUAACACAAAGAGGGCGAGCGUUAAUCAUAAUGGUUUAAAGGAUCCGUAGAAUGAAUUAUAUAUUAUAAUUUAGAGUUAAUAAAAUUAAUUAAAGAAUUAUAAUAGUAAAGAUGAAAUAAUAAUAAUAAUUAUAAGACUAAUAUAUGUGAAAAUAUUAAUUAAAUAUUAACUGACAUUGAGGGAUUAAAACUAGAGUAGCGAAACGGAUUCGAUACCCGUGUAGUUCUAGUAGUAAACUAUGAAUACAAUUAUUUAUAAUAUAUAUUAUAUAUAAAUAAUAAAUGAAAAUGAAAGUAUUCCACCUGAAGAGUACGUUAGCAAUAAUGAAACUCAAAACAAUAGACGGUUACAGACUUAAGCAGUGGAGCAUGUUAUUUAAUUCGAUAAUCCACGACUAACCUUACCAUAUUUUGAAUAUUAUAAUAAUUAUUAUAAUUAUUAUAUUACAGGCGUUACAUUGUUGUCUUUAGUUCGUGCUGCAAAGUUUUAGAUUAAGUUCAUAAACGAACAAAACUCCAUAUAUAUAAUUUUAAUUAUAUAUAAUUUUAUAUUAUUUAUUAAUAUAAAGAAAGGAAUUAAGACAAAUCAUAAUGAUCCUUAUAAUAUGGGUAAUAGACGUGCUAUAAUAAAAUGAUAAUAAAAUUAUAUAAAAUAUAUUUAAUUAUAUUUAAUUAAUAAUAUAAAACAUUUUAAUUUUUAAUAUAUUUUUUUAUUAUAUAUUAAUAUGAAUUAUAAUCUGAAAUUCGAUUAUAUGAAAAAAGAAUUGCUAGUAAUACGUAAAUUAGUAUGUUACGGUGAAUAUUCUAACUGUUUCGCACUAAUCACUCAUCACGCGUUGAAACAUAUUAUUAUCUUAUUAUUUAUAUAAUAUUUUUUAAUAAAUAUUAAUAAUUAUUAAUUUAUAUUUAUUUAUAUCAGAAAUAAUAUGAAUUAAUGCGAAGUUGAAAUACAGUUACCGUAGGGGAACCUGCGGUGGGCUUAUAAAUAUC
RNAcentral lists this non-coding RNA (1666 nucleotides) under Saccharomyces cerevisiae (brewer's yeast). RNAcentral describes it as "ribosomal RNA". It matches the Rfam family "Bacterial small subunit ribosomal RNA". The record is from RNAcentral. Lineage: Eukaryota; Fungi; Ascomycota; Saccharomycetes; Saccharomycetales; Saccharomycetaceae.